GUUUUAAAGCUCGUUCCUUUGCAGGCAGCAUCAGGGUGAACAGCAUGGAUCCUGGGGCCUGGAUUCAAAAACCAGCUGAGCCCAUGUUCCCAGCUAGGUGACUGCAGCAAGCUAUGUAAUCUUUGGGGACCUCUGUUUCUCAACCGUAAAAUGGGAUGAUAAUAGCAUCUCCCCCACAGGAGACUUAACUGCUUGAAUAUUCAUGAGGUGCUCAAAAUAGUGCCUGGCAGGUGGGCCGGUCCCUGUAAGAAUUUGGUGAUUUACGAAAAUAAGAAGGUCCUCACCAGGUGAUUCUCACCCGCCUUGGGAGGGAGCACGGUCAGUUGAGAUACGCUCUCAGCUCUGCAAAGCUCUUACCCCUCACCAGGCUCUAUCCAAGUAAUUGCUCCUGAGGCUUCAUUCCAAAUGGGCCAUAAAUCAGAGGCCAGGGGCUCCUGUUACCCGCGGCUGGUGGUGCAGUCCCUCCCCGGGGUAAUGGGAAGCAGAUGCGCCAAAUCAGUCUGGCCUCCAGAGGCCUGUGUACCUGAGCUGCUCACACACACCAAUACAGGCAAGAAUUUCCACCAGCCCUUAAGGUGAGGGUUGUCAGAGAAACAGCCUCCUAGGGCUUCCAGAUGUUCAGCGGCUUGUUUCAGGCAGGAGGGCUGACCAGGAGGCAAGGUGUGGGGCCAGGAGGUGGCAAGCUGUGAAGGGACCAGUGCGAGCUUUGCAGGUGUGAGGACCUGCUGAAAAUUCUCCACUUCUCACUGUUUCAGCCUGAGCUCUACAACCACGGGUUGUACCUUUCCAGACCUCUGUUUCCUCACCUGUGAAAUGGCUGUGAUGUUACCUAACUCCAAGACAUCUGAAGGGUGGGAAGUCAUUUAAGUGAAAUCCCCAGUAGAGUGUCAGACACACAGUGAGACAGGCUGGGGCCUGGGACCCUCUGCUGCAAUGCUUGCACCUGGACUCGUCUCUCCUCCAGCAACAAAAUACAAAGAAACAGUAUGGGACUAAAAAUAGCUGCAUGCAUGCACCCCUGGGGGCAAAUUCUGAACCCUAAAGAUACAAAGAGACCAAAAAUUCAACUGCCGUUUCUGAAGAGCCUGGAGCAAAAGCAGAGUACUGCCCCUGCCCCCUGCACACAACACCACUGGAGGGGUGGGCUCAACCCCUAAGC
Molecule: long non-coding RNA, 1159 nt
Organism: Bos taurus (domestic cattle)
Lineage: Eukaryota; Metazoa; Chordata; Mammalia; Artiodactyla; Bovidae
Source: Ensembl